CGGACUGAGUGGCGAAAGGGGCAGUAAUGCGUGGGUAACCUACCCUGGGGAUGGGCAUAGCCGGUCUAACGGCCGGGUAAUUCCCAGCGAUGUCACGAGGGGACAUCCUCUUGUGACCAAAUGAAUUUCGCCCUGGGAGGGGCUCACGUCGUAUUAGCUAGUUGGUGGGGUAACGGCCUACCAAGGCAAAGAUGCGUAGCGGGUGUGAGAGCACGACCCGCGCCACUGGCACUGAGACACUGGCCAGACACCUACGGGUGGCUGCAGUCGAGGAUCUUUGGCAAUGGGCGCAAGCCUGACCAAGCGACGCCGCGUGUGCGAUGAAGGCCUUCGGGUUGUAAAGCACUGCCGAGGGGGAUCAAAGCCCGCAAGGGCUUGAGAGAUCCCUGGAGGAAGCACGGGCUAAGUUCGUGCCAGCAGCCGCGGUAAGACGAACCGUGCGAACGUU
Molecule: ribosomal RNA, 448 nt
Filed under: uncultured bacterium
Lineage: Bacteria
Description: bacterial SSU rRNA
Rfam family: Bacterial small subunit ribosomal RNA
Source: RNAcentral